AAAUUGAAGAGUUUGAUCAUGGCUCAGAUUGAACGCUGGCGGCAGGCCUAACACAUGCAAGUCGAACGGUAACAGGAAUCAGCUUGCUGAUUUGCUGACGAGUGGCGGACGGGUGAGUAAUGUCUGGGAAACUGCCUGAUGGAGGGGGAUAACUACUGGAAACGGUAGCUAAUACCGCAUAAUGUCGCAAGACCAAAGAGGGGGACCUUCGGGCCUCUUGCCAUCGGAUGUGCCCAGAUGGGAUUAGCUAGU
This 252-nucleotide ribosomal RNA is filed under the name Escherichia coli. RNAcentral's name for it is "partial 16S ribosomal RNA". It matches the Rfam family "Bacterial small subunit ribosomal RNA", at positions 1 to 249 of the family's 1533-position model. Lineage: Bacteria; Pseudomonadati; Pseudomonadota; Gammaproteobacteria; Enterobacterales; Enterobacteriaceae. The record is from RNAcentral.